This 468-nucleotide ribosomal RNA is filed under the name uncultured bacterium. RNAcentral's name for it is "bacterial SSU rRNA". It matches the Rfam family "Bacterial small subunit ribosomal RNA", at positions 26 to 507 of the family's 1533-position model. The record is from RNAcentral.
CGAGGACGAACGCUGGCGGCACGCCUAACACAUGCAAGUCGAGCGGAGAUUGAGAGCUUGCUCUCAUGAUCAGCGGCGGACGGGUGAGUAACACGUGAGCAACCUGCCUUUCAGAGGGGGACAACAGUUGGAAACGACUGCUAAUACCGCAUAACAUUGCCGAACGGCAUCGUUUGGCAAUCAAAGGAGCAAUCCGCUGAAAGAUGGGCUCGCGUCUGAUUAGAUAGUUGGUGAGGUAACGGCUCACCAAGUCGACGAUCAGUAGCCGGACUGAGAGGUUGAUCGGCCACAUUGGGACUGAGACACGGCCCAGACUCCUACGGGAGGCAGCAGUGGGGGAUAUUGGACAAUGGGGGAAACCCUGAUCCAGCGAUGCCGCGUGAGGGAAGAAGGUUUUCGGAUUGUAAACCUCUGUGGACAGGGACGAUAAUGACGGUACCUGUUUAGAAAGCCACGGCUAACUACGUG